Molecule: ribosomal RNA, 437 nt
Filed under: Serratia symbiotica
Lineage: Bacteria; Pseudomonadati; Pseudomonadota; Gammaproteobacteria; Enterobacterales; Yersiniaceae
Description: bacterial SSU rRNA
Rfam family: Bacterial small subunit ribosomal RNA
Source: RNAcentral
AUUGAACGCUGGCGGCAGGCCUAACACAUGCAAGUCGAGCGGUAGCACAAGAGAGCUUGCUCUCUGGGUGACGAGCGGCGGACGGGUGAGUAAUGUCUGGGAAACUGCCUGAUGGCGGGGGAUAACUAGUGGAAACGGUAGCUAAUACCGCAUAACGUCGCAAGACCAAAGUGGGGGACCUUCGGGCCUCACGCCAUCAGAUGUGCCCAGGUGGGAUUAGCUGGUAGGUGGGGUAACGGCUCACCUAGGCGACGAUCCCUAGCUGGUCUGAGAGGAUGACCAGCCACACUGGAACUGAGACACGGUCCAGACUCCUACGGGAGGCAGCAGUGGGGAAUAUUGCACAAUGGGCGCAAGCCUGAUGCAGCCAUGCCGCGUGUGUGAAGAAGGCCUUCGGGUUGUAAAGCACUUUCAGCGAGGAGGAAGGGUAAUGUGUU